GAUUCACUUUUAAUGUGUAUGUAUAAUACAAUACAGAUACAUAAAAAAUACACUCCAAAAAUAGACUCUUUGAAAUGUACAAAUUAUUGAUGAAAAAUAUUGAUUAAAAAAAAUUAUAAAAAUGGAGGCAAAAUUUGCCUAUGGUACAAUGUAUACAAUGUAUGAAAAGAUCUUUACUGCAGAUACUACUAUGGCUCUGCAGAUUUUUUUCUUUUAUUUUAACCUAUGUCGCCUCACCUUGAAGUUGGCAAAUCACUUUUGGUGGUCAACUCUCUCAAGCAGUUUAACAGUUUCUGUUGCGCCUGUCACUAUUCCCUGUCUGUUUCCUUACCUGGUUCUUCCUGACCUUGUACAUUCUCUUCACCUUCCCCUCUUUCCUCCUCUCUCCCUCUUUGGACUGACAAUCAUACACAAAUAGAUUGUAUUCAAUUAGAUGAAAAAAUUACAUUAUAUGAAAAAAAAAUAUUAUUAAGAUCACUGUGUUGCCCUUAAGGCAUUUCUCUGAAUAAAUAGGUUCAUAAGUUUGAAAUAAAUAAUUCUAAGAAGAUUUGUCAUUAAAACAUUGAUAUGUGUUGUUAAAAUGAAUAAUUCAUGCUUUACAUACGUUUUAGUUAAAAGGAAAAUAUCGCUAAAAUGUAUUUCCUGUUCUGGCGGCGCACUUCCGGUUCCGGUCAGGCACUUCCGGUUUUGGUCAAGCACUCGGUUUUGCUGAGAAACAGGCUCCGCAUGCUAAAGGCAGUAUAGAGAUGUAAUCAAAUGCCAUCUACUCUGGAUUAUCAGGCUGGAACGCCAAGAAGGAGCAGAUUCUAGAACCACAGCAAAACCACGAAGCGGUUGGCGAGAAUCCAGGAAGCACCAGACGAACGGAUCUGGCCAAAAAAGGGGGACCCAAAGGAAGAUAGUGUCUGCAGCUCUCCUUUUCCGGAAAUGUAGAAUAAAGAUGAUUUUUGAGCUUUGA
This is a long non-coding RNA of Oreochromis aureus, 958 nucleotides long. RefSeq lists it as uncharacterized. NCBI's taxonomy places the organism in Eukaryota, Metazoa, Chordata, Actinopteri, Cichliformes, Cichlidae. The record is from RefSeq and is a predicted model, not a curated record. The transcript has 2 exons.